This 253-nucleotide ribosomal RNA is filed under the name uncultured bacterium. Its description in RNAcentral is "partial 16S ribosomal RNA". It matches the Rfam family "Bacterial small subunit ribosomal RNA", at positions 524 to 776 of the family's 1533-position model. The record is from RNAcentral.
UACGGGGGGGGCAAGCGUUGUUCGGAAUUACUGGGCGUAAAGGGCUCGUAGGCGGCUAACUAAGUCAGACGUGAAAUCCCUCGGCUUAACCGGGGAACUGCAUCUGAUACUGGAUGGCUUGAGUUCGGGAGAGGGAUGCGGAAUUCCAGGUGUAGCGGUGAAAUGCGUAGAUAUCUGGAGGAACACCUGUGGUGUAGACGGCUUACUGGACCGCAACUGACGCUGAGACACGAAAGCGUGGGUAGCAAACAGG